CGCUGUUUUGAGCUGCCUUUAUUUCUUUGUGUAGAUUUUUUGGAAUUAUCUUUUGGUCUUGAGAAUGUGGUAUAAUGGACAAAGAAUUAGGUUUUAUUGUCAGGUGGAUCUGGGUUAAAUCGUAACCUCUGGCAUUUACUGGCUGAGAAGGUAAAAGUAAAUAUCUCAGUGUUGUAAUGAUUGAAAUGCCUGAGUAUAUACUAGGUGCUCAGUAUGUGUUCAGGUACUGUAUUUAAUUCUGGGGAUUUUAAAAUGAAUAGAUAGGCUGGGCGCAGUGGCUCACACCAGUAAUCCUAGCAUUUUGGGAGGCCGAGGCAGGAGGAUUGCUUGAGCUCAGGAGUUCAAGAACAUCCUGGGCAACAUGGUGAAACCUUGUCUCUACAAAAAAAUACAAAAAUUAGCCAGGUGUGGUGGUGUGCGCCUGUAGUCUCUGCUACUCAGGGCUGAGGCGGGAGGAUAGCUUGAGCCUAGGAGGUCAAGGCUGCAGUGAGCCAUAUUCAUUCCCUUGCCCUCUGGCUUGGGUGACAAAAUGAGAUCCUGUCUUAAAAAAAAUACAAAGAUGAAUAGAUAAUCCUCAUCUUCAGAGAGCUCAAAACUUAGUGGUGAAUACUUGUAAAUAGGUCAUUAUGAUACCAAGCAGUACGUGCAAGGACUGAGGGCUAAAAGACUAAAACUGGAGGUAGGAGACCAAUAAGGAGGCUACUGCAACGGGCCAAGCAGUAGAUGAUGAGAGCUUGAGUGAAGGCAGUGGUGAGAGACACAGACCGGGGAGGGAGAGGAGGUUAAGCUCUUGGUGGCUACUUGAAGAGGGCUGGGAAGCAGGAGGAAAGAAGCUGUGGUGAUUUUUAGGUUGGAUGGAAAUGGUGAAACCACCUGAGAGAACACAGGCUGGGCCAGUUUGCGGGAAAGGUUGGUGAGCAUGUGGGCAUGGUGGUUGAAUCAUCUGUGUCUAGGCAGAAAUUCCUGAUAGGCAGUUGAGGAAAACAAGCUCAGUGUUGGAGUAAAAGCUUCAUCAAAUUAGGUUUCAGUGGUAUCCCCUGACAUUGGAAAAGGUAUUAUCUGCUAAUAUCUUAACAUUUUCUUUUGUCUUGUAUUUGCUUUCCUCUGGCAGGUGCAGAGAUUCUUAGAAGAGGAGGUGUAUCCCCUGUUAAAACCAUAUGAAAGCGUGAUGAAGUGUAAGCAAGUGCCAUUGGACAAGAACGUUGUCUGUGUCAUUCCUUGUUGUAUUUCCAAUAGCAAGAGCACAUCAGAUACUUGGCAACUAGGCAGUCUUCCAGCUUCUGCCACUGCGCCCGACUUCCUUGUUGCAUGGAUUUAUAGCUGAUUGAAGCAACUGUAGCCAAAGAUUGAGUUAAUUACCUACCUGCCAGGAGAGCACUAGUGUUAUUUAGCCCAUUCUCAUCCUACAUAUUUUUCGGCAUAGAUGAAAAUGAAAGCUUUUGUUUAUCAGAUUUGCAGAUGACACAAAACUGGGAGAAUUAACAAGUAUGUUUAUUUGGUAAAAUAAGUUUUCAUCUCUAACCUAAAUCGGCUGAAAUGAUGUGUCCUAAACUAGAGGAAAAAGUUAAUAAAGAUCAAUGUAAAUAAGUUAAUCUUAAACUCAGUAUGCACCAGAACUGAGAGAAGACUGUUUUAGGAGGUGUUAAUGGUUGUCCAGUGCCCAAAAAGCCACCAGAGGCUUACUGCUCCGCACUCUUGGCAUUACAUUCAAUUUUGGAUACCCAGUCUGAGGAAUAGAGAUGAACUGGAGAGCCAACCUCCAAAAAGAUCUUGUGGUGGAGGAAUGUUAGGGCUCUUUAUCCUAUACAGAAGAAAACUCCUCGGCACUUCAAAUAUUGCCAGGUGCAGGAAGAGUGACUUGAUUGUGUGUUGCCCCAAGAGACACACUGAGCUCAAUACCCAUUACUGAGACUGGCUUGGGGCCAGACAUUGGAACCACUGAGAUUAGCAACCUACACUCAAUCCCCCAGGUCAGGCAGAAGCUGGAAGACUGCCUCGUUAGGAAUGUUGUGAGGGAGAGGAGGCUGAAUCGGUUCCAGUUUUAUUUAAAAGUAGCCAGGAAAUCAGGUUGCGAUGAUGCGCAUUUACAGUCCCAGCUACUUGGGAAGCUGAGGCGAUAGGGUCACUUGAGCCCAAGAGUUUAGUCCAGGCUGGGUGACAGCGAGCCCUUGUCACUUAAAGCCAACCUAAGAGAAGAGCUUAUCCUUUUGGAAAAACAAUAGAAGACAAUUCUGAAAACCAAAUUCUGAACAUAGGCUAGUAUAGCAAGCAAGCAGGGAUAGCAUAGAGCCAUUUGCUCAACUUCCAGAAAGAGUUACUCUGUUCAUCUCUAAAAAAUCUUGAAAAGGGCCGGGUGCGGUGGUGGCUCACGCCUGUAAUCCCAACACUUUGGGAGGCCGAGGCAGGUGGAUCACCUGAGGUCAGGAGUUCGAGACCAGCUUGACCGACAAGGUGAAACUCCGUCUCUACUAAAAAUACAAUCAACCGGGCGUGGUGGCAGGCGCCUAUAGUCCCAGCUACUUGGG
RNAcentral lists this long non-coding RNA (2525 nucleotides) under Homo sapiens (human). Its description in RNAcentral is "HSALNT0278063". Lineage: Eukaryota; Metazoa; Chordata; Mammalia; Primates; Hominidae. The record is from RNAcentral.